This 257-nucleotide ribosomal RNA is filed under the name uncultured bacterium. RNAcentral's name for it is "partial 16S ribosomal RNA". It matches the Rfam family "Bacterial small subunit ribosomal RNA", at positions 662 to 924 of the family's 1533-position model. The record is from RNAcentral.
GGGAACUCCAUGUGUAGCGAGGGAUGCGUAGAUAUUGAAGAACACCAGUGGCGAAGCGGCUCUCUGGUCUGCAACUGACGCUGAGCUCGAAAGCAUGGGUAGCGAACAGGAUUAGAUACCCUGGUAGUCCAUGCUGUAAACGAUGAGCGCUAGGUGUUGGGACUUCCGGUCCUCAGUGCCGCAGCAAACGCAUUAAGCGCUCCGCCUGGGGAGUACGACCGCAAGGUUGAAACUCAAAGGAAUUGACGGGGGCCCGC